Danio rerio (zebrafish) is the source of this 366-nucleotide non-coding RNA. The record is from RefSeq and is a predicted model, not a curated record. Lineage: Eukaryota; Metazoa; Chordata; Actinopteri; Cypriniformes; Danionidae.
GUUUUGUUUGUUUGAUUCAUACCAUGAUUUGGUGGGAGUGUAACUGCCCAUGAUUUAAUGUACUCGCUUUGCUUGCCCUAAUUGGAGUCACCACAGGAGGGCGCUCUAGACUAAUAGGAUUUAAGUGAGACAAAGCAGAGUAAGAGCAAUUCACGUUUGUUCAUGAGCUAACAGGUACAGCUCGGAAGAAUGCCUUGAGCUUUUAGUGUCCCUUCGGCAAGCAGAGCGAGUUUUACGGUGCUUUGGUGCUUUUGGUGCCUUUGGUCUUUUGAUGCUUCUGUGUAUACAACAAAGAACUGAGACGAUGAUUUAUGUGAUGAGCUUUAUUGCAUCCAAGUAAACCUUUUUAAAUGCACCCGUCAAAAA